RNAcentral lists this unclassified non-coding RNA (538 nucleotides) under Hevea brasiliensis (rubber tree). The record is from RNAcentral. Lineage: Eukaryota; Viridiplantae; Streptophyta; Magnoliopsida; Malpighiales; Euphorbiaceae.
GUUCACAAGUCUUACAAUCAGGGAUAACAAUUAGACAAAUUGGCAGCAAUAUCAUUAAGAAAGAAUCCAACUUGAGUAACUAAAUUCAACUUUUACUCUCAAGCAAAGAUGCUAGUCCAUCAGCAUAAAGAAAUGUCACCACAAGGAAAGUAGUUCUCACAUCACAAAAAAUAAAUUAUUUCAACUAUUAUUUUCUCAACUUAUAACCAAACUGGAACCAUGGGAACCAUCCCUCCUUUGUUCAAUUCAAGUUCCUCCUGGCCAUGAGCCAGAGCCACUAGUUUUGAUCCAUAACGGGCCCAUGGCCACACCUAGGUCUUAGGCUCAACCACUGAGUAAAUAUUAUGGUUAUGAUAUGAUUCGCAACCAUGAACAAUUAAUCAUCAGCCCAAAAAAUAUAUAUAUUAUUUUAUUAAAAACCGAAUUUUAAAUUUUAAAUUCCUCUUAUAAGUUUCAAAGGCAAGAAUUUUGGAUUUUAAAUUGUCACCCUUAACCGUAUAGUAAAAUUUCAAAAGAAGAAAUUCCAUACGAUGAGUUU